UACGUAGGGUGCGAGCGUUAAUCGGAAUUACUGGGCGUAAAGCGUGCGCAGGCGGUGAUGUAAGACCGAUGUGAAAUCCCCGGGCUUAACCUGGGAACUGCAUUGGUGACUGCAUUGCUGGAGUAUGGCAGAGGGGGGUGGAAUUCCACGUGUAGCAGUGAAAUGCGUAGAGAUGUGGAGGAACACCGGUGGCGAAGGCGGAUCUCUGGGCCAUAACUGACGCUGAGGAGCGAAAGCAUGGGGAGCGAACGGG
RNAcentral lists this ribosomal RNA (253 nucleotides) under uncultured bacterium. RNAcentral describes it as "partial 16S ribosomal RNA". It matches the Rfam family "Bacterial small subunit ribosomal RNA", at positions 524 to 776 of the family's 1533-position model. The record is from RNAcentral.